This 1402-nucleotide small RNA is filed under the name Rattus norvegicus (Norway rat). RNAcentral describes it as "uncharacterized LOC100910424". Lineage: Eukaryota; Metazoa; Chordata; Mammalia; Rodentia; Muridae. The record is from RNAcentral.
CUGCGAUGAUUAAACUUUCAAGAAGAUUCUUUUGGUUGUUGUGGUUUGGUCUGCUUGAUUUGUUCGAGACAGGGCUUCUCUGUGUACCCCUGCUGUCUUGAAACUCACUUGCAGACCAGGCCGGCCUCGAACUCUCAGAGAUCCUCCUGCCUCUGCCUCCCCAAUGCAAGAAUUAAAGGCUUGCACUAACUACCACCUGGCUCAAAGAUAUUUUUUAAUUUGUCUUUAAAUUCUGCUUUUAUUUUUUAAAUAUUUUUAAUUAACUAUAUUUUUCCCUUUUUUAGUACUUAAAAUUAAUUUUUAGAUCAAUAUAUUCUGCCCUGUGGUGAAAUACUCCUUUGUUAUGCUUUCUCGUAUGAAGUCAGACUCUGGGGCCCUGGGGGUAUUGUGAUGUACCGUUGAAGGUCCACUGUGUGUGCAGCUCUUCAGUCCAAAGUAGGCAAAGUCUACUUCGUGCAGUCAGCCAGGUAUGCAGAAGACAACUUCUGGAGUCAGUUCUGUCAACCAUGUGGGUCUCAGGGAUGGAACUCAGUUGGUCAUGAUUGGCAGCAAGCACCUUUACCUGCUGACCCACCUCAGCACUCCUGAUGGAGCAGAUGUAGAUGAACAAUAUCAUCUAUGAAACAUUCCAAACAAAACUAACUUGAAUCCAUCAAGCCUUCCCAUCAAACACGCAAUUUUUUUAAUUUGUUUUAUUAUUUUUUGAUGUCUGUGUGUUAUGUCUGCAUGUAUGUCUGUGUGCCAUGUUUGUUCCCGGUGCCCCCUGAAGUCAGAAGAAGGAAUCAGAUCCCCUAGAACUGGAGUUUCAGAAAGAUGAGCUGCAGGUGGGGGCUGGGAAUUGAACCUGUGUCCUCUGGAAGAGCAGCUGGUGCUCUUAACAGCUGAACACCUCUCCAGUGCCAAACACACCAUUUAUAAGAAAUACAACAGGUGAAAUAACAAAUUCUGUGCCAUUCUGGAGGAUAACUGGUGUAUAAGCUUCAACAAUGUAUCAUCCUGGAAGAAACAAUGGCUGUGUGGGGAAAAAAAAAAUCUAAGGGACAUUACAGCCUGACCCAGAUCCUAUUCUGAACAGACAAGCUAUAAAACACCUUUCAGCACAAUUGAAGGAGGAACGAAAGCAUGGAAUAUUUGAUAAGAUGAAGUUGUGUUGCCAUGCAAGCCUUGGAGGUCAUUAAGAAAACGGCAAGUCACAAAAUGGUGUGUGUGCAGUAGUAUCUCGGUUUUAAAAAGUUAAAUGUGUGUGUUUACAGACUAUGAAACAGGAUUUACCCUGAGGUUGUGCUGAUUACAAUCUUUGGAAGUAAAAUCAUACAUUUUUUUAUCUUAUAUUUAUCUUCAUGUAAUAUUUUUGCUUUAUACAUUACAUUUGUUCAUUAACAAUGAAAUUUAUUUUAUGAAA